Molecule: long non-coding RNA, 432 nt
Organism: Sarcophilus harrisii (Tasmanian devil)
Lineage: Eukaryota; Metazoa; Chordata; Mammalia; Dasyuromorphia; Dasyuridae
Exons: 3
Source: RefSeq, a predicted model, not a curated record
GUGUAAAAUCUAUGAAGAAAAGCACUGAGGAGUCAGGAUGACACCAGUGCUGUAGCACUUAGAAUUGCAGGAUAAAAAACAUGCAUGCUGACUUCAAGCCUACUCCAGCAUUAUGUCCUGUUGCUAUUGCUGUGUCAGCUUGCAGCACAACCUCUCUCCUAGAGAGAUUGGCCUUUUGGAAUCUCUCCCAAAAUUCAAGUUUGUCAGUGACUCAACUGAAGGUGGUAGCAACAGCAGCAGCAGCAGCAAUAGUAGCACAGCAGUGGGGCUAGUAAAGUCAUUCUUCUUGAUCCAACCCAGAAGGGAACUACCCAUCAGUUGGGAUACCAUAUCCUGCAAAGAGCCAGCAAGGGAAAGACUUGUCCAUUAACACCAUCUCCCUGUGAAGCCAAGAUUCUGGAAGGGAAGAAAAGAAUUCCUAGAACCAGAUGU